GCCUCGUUGGUGCAUUAGGCAGCGCGUCAGUCUCAUAAUCAGAAGGUCGUGAGUUCGACCCUCACACGUUGCA
This 73-nucleotide transfer RNA is filed under the name Gasterosteus aculeatus (three-spined stickleback). It matches the Rfam family "tRNA". Rfam says of the family: Transfer RNA (tRNA) molecules are approximately 80 nucleotides in length. The record is from Rfam by way of RNAcentral. Lineage: Eukaryota; Metazoa; Chordata; Actinopteri; Perciformes; Gasterosteidae.